This is a long non-coding RNA of Rhincodon typus (whale shark), 403 nucleotides long. RefSeq lists it as uncharacterized. Lineage: Eukaryota; Metazoa; Chordata; Chondrichthyes; Orectolobiformes; Rhincodontidae. The transcript is spliced from 3 exons. The record is from RefSeq and is a predicted model, not a curated record.
GGGAGGGAGGGAAUGCUGCAGUUAGUCAGAGGCUGACGCUGAGCCCACCUCACCAGGUACAUACCUGCACCGACACAGAGAGAGAGAGAAAAAAACAAGCUGCAAACUCCAGCACCGACUCUAUUCGGGCUGUAGUCCGCCAGGAGAUUCAGAAACUUCUCCAAGUGCAAAGGAAUUAACUGGAUCCCUUUCAGUAUUUAACAAGGUUACAGCAGCCGGGCCGAUCAUCCACUGGAGGAGAUGCAGUGGUGGACGUUAUGGAGCUCAUUGGCGAUCGUGGCCCUGAUGGGAGCUGUGUGUCACGGGGAGAGAAGCAAUCGCUGCUUUCUCAAACGAGGUCAAACCUGCUCUGAUUGCAUGAGAGCGGAUAAAGACUGCGCCUAUUGUGCUGACGAGGUAAAUU